This 713-nucleotide long non-coding RNA is filed under the name Medicago truncatula (barrel medic). RNAcentral describes it as "lncRNA gene48404". Lineage: Eukaryota; Viridiplantae; Streptophyta; Magnoliopsida; Fabales; Fabaceae. The record is from RNAcentral.
GUACCCACUAAAAAGAAAAAGACUCAUCAAUUUAACUUGUUCUACAACCUAAUUUUUUUUCAAACUAAAAAUAAGUUAAAUACUAACAUUCAAAAACCGGGAACAACCUCCUUCUUCCGCCGCAUCUCAAUAACUUUCCGGUGAUGAUUUGAAUGCAAUUCACUGGAAAACGUAGGGCUACAAGCGGGUCUAUAUUCCGGUAACAACCGACCCGAUUUAUAACGAACCCCACAAGCAUUACAAAGUGUUUUCGGCCCACCUGGUCCGGUUCGCCAUUGAGGAGUCUUCUGCACUCCACAAUGACUACACCGCCGCGGCACACCUCUUGCUUCUCCGUCCGGUGAAACCAUCCUCUUCGCUUUUUUCUCCGCUGGCUUUGAACAUUCCUCGAGGUUUGAGGAAGAAAGUGUAGCUGAGCUUGAGGUUGAAGAUGAAUUGGCUAGUGAAAUUGGCCAUACACGAAUACCGGUUCGUGUUCUCUUGCUUCUUGCUUUUGCCGGUACCGGAGUUUUGAAACAUGGUGUAGAAAACGUGGGGUUUGGUUCAUGAGCUUUUUGUUGAAGUUGGAGAUUUUCUGUUUUGGGAAAUUCUGAGAAGGAAUCUUCAACAAAAUAUGAUAACCAUUCUAAAUCAGCAGCUUCUUCUACCUACAAAAAUUGCAACUUUGGUUAAAUUCUUCAAAAACAACAACCUUAAAAAAAAACAAUCUUAAC